AUUGCCUCAGUAACGGCGAGUGAAGCGGCAACAGCUCAAAUUUGAAAUCUGGCCCUUUCGGGGUCCGAGUUGUAAUUUGUAGAGAGUGUUUCGGGUGAGACCACGGUCUAAGUCCAUUGGAACACGGUGUCAUAGAGGGUGAGAAUCCCGUAUGUGACCGUGGAUCGAGCCCAUGUGAAGCCUCUUCGACGAGUCGAGUUGUUUGGGAAUGCAGCUCAAAAUUGGUGGUAAAUUUCAUCUAAAGCUAAAUACUGGCUGGAGACCGAUAGCGCACAAGUAGAGUGAUCGAAAGAUGAAAAGCACUUUGGAAAGAGAGUGAAACAGUACGUGAAAUUGUUGAAAGGGAAGCGCUUGCAACCAGACCUGCCCGUAGGCGAUCAGCCGCUGUUCUCAGUGGUGCACUCGCUCUGCGAUCAGGCCAGCAUCGGUUUCGGCGGUCGGAUAAAGGCCUUGGGAAUGUAGCUCCUUUUCGGGGGAGUCUUAUAGCCCUCGGUGCAAUGCGGCCAGCCGGGACCGAGGACCGCGCUUCGGCUAGGAUGCUGGCGUAAUGGUUGUAAGCGACCCGUCUUGAAACACGGACCAAGGAGUCUAACAUCUAUGCGAGUGUUUGGGUGUCAAACCCAUGCGCGGAAUGAAAGUGAACGGAGGUGAGAACCCUUAAGGGCGCAUCAUCGACCGAUCCAGAUGUCUUCGGAUGGAUUUGAGUAUGAGCAUAGCUGUUGGGACCCGAAAGAUGGUGAACUAUGCCUGAAUAGGGUGAAGCCAGAGGAAACUCUGGUGGAGGCUCGCAGCGGUUCUGACGUGCAAAUCGAUCGUCAAAUUUGGGUAUAGGGGCGAAAGACUAAUCGAACCAUCUAGUAGCUGGUUCCUGCCGAAGUC
Molecule: ribosomal RNA, 879 nt
Filed under: Flavopunctelia sp.
Lineage: Eukaryota; Fungi; Ascomycota; Lecanoromycetes; Lecanorales; Parmeliaceae
Description: partial large subunit ribosomal RNA
Rfam family: Eukaryotic large subunit ribosomal RNA
Source: RNAcentral